CCUACGGGAGGCAGCAGUGGGGAAUAUUGCACAAUGGGGGAAACCCUGAUGCAGCGACGCCGCGUGAGUGAAGAAGUAAUUCGUUACGUUAAGCUCUAUCAGCAGGGAAGAAAAGGACGAUACGUGAGUAAGAAGCAACGGCGAACUACGUGCCAGCAGCCGCGGUAAUACGUAGGGGGCAAGCGUUAUCCGGAGUUACUGGGUGUAAAGGGAGCGUAGACGGUGCGCCAAGUCUGGAGGGAAAUGUAGGAGCUUAACUGUGGCACUGGUUUUGAAAAUGGCGAACUAGAGUGCGGGAGGGGUAAGCGGAAUGCCUAGUGUAGCGGUGAAAUGCGUAGAUAUUAGGAGGAACACCGGGGGCGAAGGCGGCUUACUGGACCGUAACUGACGUUGAGGCUCGAAAGCGUGGGGAGCAAACAGGAUUAGAUACCCCAGUAGUC
RNAcentral lists this ribosomal RNA (440 nucleotides) under uncultured bacterium. Its description in RNAcentral is "partial 16S ribosomal RNA". It matches the Rfam family "Bacterial small subunit ribosomal RNA", at positions 338 to 795 of the family's 1533-position model. The record is from RNAcentral.